AGUGAACGCUGGCGGUAGGCCUAACACAUGCAAGUCGAACGGCAGCACAGUAAGAGCUUGCUCUUACGGGUGGCGAGUGGCGGACGGGUGAGGAAUACAUCGGAAUCUACUUUUUCGUGGGGGAUAACGUAGGGAAACUUACGCUAAUACCGCAUUCGACCUACGGGUGGAAGCAGGGGAUCUUCGGACCUUGCGCGAUUGAAUGAGCCGAUGUCGGAUUAGCUAGUUGGCGGGGUAAAGGCCCACCAAGGCGACGAUCCGUAGCUGGUCUGAGAGGAUGAUCAGCCACACUGGAACUGAGACACGGUCCAGACUCCUACGGGAGGCAGCAGUGGGGAAUAUUGGACAAUGGGCGCAAGCCUGAUCCAGCCAUACCGCGUGGGUGAAGAAGGCCUUCGGGUUGUAAAGCCCUUUUGUUGGGAAAGAAAAGCAGCAGGUUAAUACCCCGCUGUUCUGACGGUACCCAAAGAAUAAGCACCGGCUAACUUCGU
Molecule: ribosomal RNA, 491 nt
Filed under: uncultured bacterium
Lineage: Bacteria
Description: partial 16S ribosomal RNA
Rfam family: Bacterial small subunit ribosomal RNA
Source: RNAcentral